This 1152-nucleotide long non-coding RNA is filed under the name Lupinus angustifolius (narrow-leaved blue lupine). RNAcentral's name for it is "long non-coding RNA (LANG_LNC002306)". The record is from RNAcentral. Lineage: Eukaryota; Viridiplantae; Streptophyta; Magnoliopsida; Fabales; Fabaceae.
CCUUCUCAACAUAGGUGGACAAUGUCUCAACUCUUAAAUCAGAAUCUGCUCAUCAAAUAAUAGUCUUAAAUGUAAUUCUUUUGCAAUUUAGGAACUCGUGCUAUAAACUACUAUCUACGUAAGUUUCUAAAACUUACAAAAUUAAUAUAUUUCAUAAUUUCUAUAGAAACGGGUGCCGUUGAGAGGUCGCCGUUGAGAGGUCUUCUUGCAUUCUAUUUUUGCUUCCCCAUUUUAUGUGCCUUUAAAUGCUAAAAUCAUGGUUUACUAAUCGAAGUUGUUGGUUUAGCAUUCAGGGUCUUCCUUUAGAUUCUAGCAGUGUUUUAAAUUGUGGUUGUAGUCGCGAUUGUGGUUGCGGUUAAUGCGAUUGUGGUCAUUGCCGCCGUUCCGAUGCAGAUUGCGGCCAUUGCGAUGUUAAUUAUUUUGUGACUAAAAACAUAUUUUCGACAUCAAUGCAGUCUGAUAUGGCCCCGAUUCUGUUGCGUUGCAGCUUCAUGUGAUCCAAAUGCGGUCGAUGCGGUUAUGUUGUAGCCUAUUGCAGUCGCUUCACUGUGAUUCGGUAUCACACUGCAAUUGUGGUGUGAUGCGGUGGUCACUACAACAAUUUGAAACAUUCGAUUAGAUAUAUUGUUAAGAUCCCAACUCAUGGCACUUAACAUUGCUAUCCCUCAAACACCUCUAAUCCUCAAGGAAUGUAUCUUUUGGUGUAGUGGCAAGCUUUUGACCCUGAAUGUGGCAUCAGAGUGAGGCUAUGGAUUCAAAUCCAUCGAGGAACGCUAAUGAUGAGAUUGUUGGCUUAAUAUCCAACGUCUCCCUAUUAAUUCGAAAUGGGCUUAACAUCUCAACCUAAUGUGCUUAACAUCAUAGUCCCUCAAACACCUCUAAGUUUUAAGGAAAUAAAGUUGUACCGUACCUCAUAGCUAUAGUUUUUUGCCCAGUGGUAAAGUGUUUGAUCUUGAAUGAUUUAACUCAAAAUCACUUCGAUUCCAGCAUAAGUCUCGCUCGGGAAUAAUAUUUUAAACUGCGGUUGUGAUCGUAAUUACAAUUACACUAUGUUAAAUGUAAUUUAGGAAAAUUGUGGGAAAUUAAAGCUAAUGUAGACUUAAUUACAAUUUUAAUGUUGUUGGAUAGACAUCCAAAAUAAUAAUAUUAGGG